UGCCGGGGACAUUGUUUGGUGGGUAGUUUGACUGGGGUGGUCGCCUCCAAAAAGGUAACGGAGGCUUUCAAAGGUAAGCUCAGUACGCUUGGUAACCGUACGCGGAGUGCAAUGGCAAAAGCUUGCUUGACUGUGAGACCAACAAGUCGAUCAGGGUCGAAAGACGGACAUAGUGAUCCGGUGGUUCCGCAUGGAAGGGCCAUCGCUCAAAGGAUAAAAGGUACUCUGGGGAUAACAGGCUGAUCUCCCCCAAGAGCUCAUAUCGACGGGGAGGUUUGGCACCUCGAUGUCGGCUCGUCACAUCCUGGGGCUGGAGAAGGUCCCAAGGGUUGGGCUGUUCGCCCAUUAAAGUGGCACGCGAGCUGGGUUCAGAACGUCGCGAGACAGUUCGGUCCCUAUCUGUUGUGGGCGUUGGAAGUUUGAGUGGGUCUGGCCUUAGUACGAGAGGACCGGGCUGGACGCACCUCUGGUGAACCAGUUAUGCCGCCAGGUGUACUGCUGGGUAGCUACGUGCGGUCAGGAUAAGCGCUGAAAGCAUCUAAGUGCGAAACCUGCCACGAGAUAAGGCUUCCUUACAGGGCCGUGGGAGACUACCACGU
Molecule: ribosomal RNA, 599 nt
Filed under: Sphingobacterium micropteri
Lineage: Bacteria; Pseudomonadati; Bacteroidota; Sphingobacteriia; Sphingobacteriales; Sphingobacteriaceae
Description: Sphingobacterium sp. DN00404 partial 23S ribosomal RNA
Rfam family: Bacterial large subunit ribosomal RNA
Source: RNAcentral